Non-coding RNA from Phrynosoma platyrhinos (Desert horned lizard), 72 nucleotides. The record is from the annotation of a GenBank genome assembly. Lineage: Eukaryota; Metazoa; Chordata; Lepidosauria; Squamata; Phrynosomatidae.
ACCAGUAUGGUAUAGUGGUCUGAGCAUUGGACUAUGACUCCGGAAUCCACGGUUCAAAUCCCUGCUCAGCCA